AUGUUGCAUCUCAAAAUCAAGAUGUUGAUUCAAGAAGAGAAAGGAGCUGUCGGCGUGCCAUGGGAGGUGGAUGGUCUCCGCUGCGUCGUGAGCGCCGUCGCCGCCUCUGCGACCACCUUGCUCCGCAUAGUAGCAUGUGUGAGGAAUCGGGGACAAGCGACCACGAGAAGAUGGCGUCGGCGGCAACGGCAAUGCGCAUGUUGCGCGAAGCCUGGUAAGAUGGGCGCGGCCUCUCCGCAGGCAUUUCAGGAUGGCGUGCCCGACGGCUUGGAACGCGCGCGCCCGGCGCACAGGAGGUGUGUCUUGGAGCACGCCGGCGGCAACAUGCACCAUGAGGUCCCGGAGCAGCCCAACCAGUACAGGAGGAACCCUGCCAUUCCAUCCUCACCUCUGGUCACAGAUUUUGCCUAUUCUCUGAGAUGGAUGAUGAUGAGCGGUGCAACCGAAAAUUCAGAGCUGGGCUUUACACACUUCAGUGGGAGUAGCAUGACAACACCAAGGUAG
This 504-nucleotide ribosomal RNA is filed under the name Triticum aestivum (bread wheat). Its description in RNAcentral is "partial small subunit ribosomal RNA". Lineage: Eukaryota; Viridiplantae; Streptophyta; Magnoliopsida; Poales; Poaceae. The record is from RNAcentral.